This 1404-nucleotide ribosomal RNA is filed under the name uncultured bacterium. RNAcentral describes it as "16S ribosomal RNA". It matches the Rfam family "Bacterial small subunit ribosomal RNA". The record is from RNAcentral.
AGAGUUUGAUCCUGACUCAGGAUGAACGCUAGCGGCAGGCUUAACACAUGCAAGUCGAGGGGCAGCGGGGAGGAAGCUUGCUUUCUCCGCCGGCGACCGGCGCACGGGUGAGUAACACGUAUGCAACCUGCCCCUGUCAGGGGGACAACCCGCCGAAAGGCGGGCUAAACCCGCGUACAUGCCACCAGGGCAUCCCGGAGGCAGGAAAGGCUUCGGCCGGACAGGGAUGGGCAUGCGGCGCAUUAGGCAGUAGGCGGGGUAACGGCCCACCUAACCGACGAUGCGUAGGGGUUCUGAGAGGGAAGGGUCCCCCACACUGGUACUGAGACACGGACCAGACUCCUACGGGAGGCAGCAGUGAGGAAUAUUGGUCAAUGGUCGGGAGACUGAACCAGCCAAGCCGCGUGAGGGAUGAAGGUACAGAGUAUCGUAAACCUCUUUUGUCAGGGAACAAAGGCGGGGACGCGUCCCCGGAUGAGUGUACCUGAAGAAAAAGCAUCGGCUAACUCCGUGCCAGCAGCCGCGGUAAUACGGAGGAUGCGAGCGUUAUCCGGAUUUAUUGGGUUUAAAGGGUGCGCAGGCGGUCUGUUAAGUCAGCGGUCAAAGCCCGGGGCUCAACCCCGGCCCGCCGUUGAAACUGGCAGUCUCGAGUUGGAGAGAAGUAUGCGGAAUGCGCGGUGUAGCGGUGAAAUGCAUAGAUAUCGCGCAGAACUCCGAUUGCGAAGGCGGCAUGCCGGCUCCACACUGACGCUGAGGCACGAAAGCGUGGGUAUCGAACAGGAUUAGAUACCCUGGUAGUCCACGCAGUAAACGAUGAAUGCUGGCUGUCCGGGGGGAUUGACCCCUGGGUGGCGAAGCGAAAGCGAUAAGCAUUCCACCUGGGGAGUACGCCGGCAACGGUGAAACUCAAAGGAAUUGACGGGGGCCCGCACAAGCGGAGGAACAUGUGGUUUAAUUCGAUGAUACGCGAGGAACCUUACCCGGGCUCAAACGGGGAGUGACUCAGGCAGAGACGCCUGUUUCCCACGGGACACUCCCCGAGGUGCUGCAUGGUUGUCGUCAGCUCGUGCCGUGAGGUGUCGGCUUAAGUGCCAUAACGAGCGCAACCCCCGCGUGCAGUUGCUAACAGAUAACGCUGAGGACUCUGCACGGACUGCCGGCGCAAGCCGCGAGGAAGGCGGGGAUGACGUCAAAUCAGCACGGCCCUUACGUCCGGGGCGACACACGUGUUACAAUGGGUGGUACAGCGGGAAGCCAGGCGGCGACGCCGAGCGGAACCCGAAAUCCACUCUCAGUUCGGAUCGGAGUCUGCAACCCGACUCCGUGAAGCUGGAUUCGCUAGUAAUCGCGCAUCAGCCAUGGCGCGGUGAAUACGUUCCCGGGCCUUGUACUCACCGCCCGUCA